AUUGAACGCUGGCGGCAUGCCUUACACAUGCAAGUCGAACGGUAACAGGUUAAGCUGACGAGUGGCGAACGGGUGAGUAAUAUAUCGGAACGUGCCCAGUCGUGGGGGAUAACGUAGCGAAAGCUACGCUAAUACCGCAUACGAUCUACGGAUGAAAGCGGGGGAUCGCAAGACCUCGCGCGAUUGGAGCGGCCGAUAUCAGAUUGGGUUGUUGGUGAGGUAAAAGCUCACCAAGCCUGCGAUCUGUAGCUGGUCUGAGAGGACGACCAGCCACACUAGAACUGAGGCACGGUCCAGACUCCUACGGGGGGCAUCAGUGGGGAAUAUUGGACAAUGUGCGAAAGCCUGAUCCAGCCAUGCCGCGUGUGUGAAGAAGGUCUUCGGAUUGUAAAGCACUUUAAGUCGGGAGGAAGGGCUGUAGGUUAAUACCCUGCGGUUUUGACGUUACCGACAGAAUAAGCACCGGCUAACUUCGUGCCAGCCGCCGCUGUAA
This 493-nucleotide ribosomal RNA is filed under the name uncultured bacterium. RNAcentral describes it as "partial 16S ribosomal RNA". It matches the Rfam family "Bacterial small subunit ribosomal RNA", at positions 30 to 523 of the family's 1533-position model. The record is from RNAcentral.